UACGGAGGGAGCAAGCGUUAUUCGGAAUCACUGGGCGUAAAGGACGCGUAGGCGGGUUUGUAAGUCAGGUGUGAAAUCCUACAGCUCAACUGUAGAACUGCACUUGAAACUACAGACCUAGAGUAUGGAAGGGGCAGAUGGAAUUAGUGGUGUAGGGGUAAAAUCCGUAGAUAUCACUAGGAAUACCGAAAGCGAAGGCGAUCUGCUGGGACAUUACUGACGCUGAGGCGUGAAAGCGUGGGGAGCAAACAGGAGUAGAUACCCUAGUAGUCC
This 273-nucleotide ribosomal RNA is filed under the name uncultured bacterium. RNAcentral's name for it is "partial 16S ribosomal RNA". It matches the Rfam family "Bacterial small subunit ribosomal RNA", at positions 524 to 796 of the family's 1533-position model. The record is from RNAcentral.